RNAcentral lists this ribosomal RNA (484 nucleotides) under uncultured bacterium. RNAcentral's name for it is "bacterial SSU rRNA". It matches the Rfam family "Bacterial small subunit ribosomal RNA", at positions 501 to 986 of the family's 1533-position model. The record is from RNAcentral.
CUACGUGCCAGCAGCCGCGGUAAUACGGAGGGUGCGAGCGUUAAUCGGAAUAACUGGGCGUAAAGGGCACGCAGGCGGUGACUUAAGUGAGGUGUGAAAGCCCCGGGCUUAACCUGGGAAUUGCAUUUCAUACUGGGUCGCUAGAGUACUUUAGGGAGGGGUAGAAUUCCACGUGUAGCGGUGAAAUGCGUAGAGAUGUGGAGGAAUACCGAAGGCGAAGGCAGCCCCUUGGGAAUGUACUGACGCUCAUGUGCGAAAGCGUGGGGAGCAAACAGGAUUAGAUACCCUGGUAGUCCACGCUGUAAACGAUGUCGAUUUGGGGGUUGAACUUUGAGUUUGGCGCCCGUAGCUAACGUGAUAAAUCGACCGCCUGGGGAGUACGGCCGCAAGGUUAAAACUCAAAUGAAUUGACGGGGGCCCGCACAAGCGGUGGAGCAUGUGGUUUAAUUCGAUGCAACGCGAAGAACCUUACCUACUCUUGACA